AUACUUACCUGGAUGGGGUCGAUGGGUGAUCAUGAAGGCCCAUGGCUAGGAUUGUGACCUCCAUUGCACUUAGGAGGGGUGCUUUCCUAAGGUCUACCCAAGUGGUGGAGCCUACAUCAUAAUUUGUUGCCUGAGGGGGCCUGCGUUCGCGCGGCCCCCAC
RNAcentral lists this small nuclear RNA (161 nucleotides) under Lathyrus oleraceus (garden pea). RNAcentral's name for it is "Pisum sativum (pea) U1 spliceosomal RNA". It matches the Rfam family "U1 spliceosomal RNA". From Rfam's summary of the family: U1 is a small nuclear RNA (snRNA) component of the spliceosome (involved in pre-mRNA splicing). Its 5' end forms complementary base pairs with the 5' splice junction, thus defining the 5' donor site of an intron. The record is from Rfam by way of RNAcentral. Lineage: Eukaryota; Viridiplantae; Streptophyta; Magnoliopsida; Fabales; Fabaceae.